RNAcentral lists this ribosomal RNA (253 nucleotides) under uncultured bacterium. Its description in RNAcentral is "partial 16S ribosomal RNA". It matches the Rfam family "Bacterial small subunit ribosomal RNA", at positions 524 to 776 of the family's 1533-position model. The record is from RNAcentral.
UACAGAGGUCUCAACCGUUGUUCGGAUUCAUUGGGCGUAAAGGGUGCGUAGGCGGCGGGGUAAGUCAGGUGUGAAAUCUCGGGGCUCAACCCCGAAACUGCACUUGAUACUGCUUCGCUUGAGUACUGGAGAGGAGACUGGAAUUUACGGUGUAGCAGUGAAAUGCGUAGAUAUCGUAAGGAAGACCAGUGGCGAAGGCGGGUCUCUGGACAGUUCCUGACGCUGAGGCACGAAGGCCAGGGGAGCAAACGGG